RNAcentral lists this ribosomal RNA (433 nucleotides) under uncultured bacterium. RNAcentral's name for it is "partial 16S ribosomal RNA". It matches the Rfam family "Bacterial small subunit ribosomal RNA", at positions 29 to 507 of the family's 1533-position model. The record is from RNAcentral.
AACGAACGCUGGCGGCAUGCCUAACACAUGCCAGUCGAACGAGACCUUCGGGUCUAGUGGCGCACGGGUGCGUAACGCGUGGGAACCUGCCCUUAGGUUCGGAAUAACUCCCCGAAAGGGGUGCUAAUACCGGAUAAUGUCUUCGGACCAAAGAUUUAUCGCCUUUGGAUGGGCCCGCGUUGGAUUAGCUAGUUGGUAGGGUAAAAGCCUACCAAGGCGACGAUCCAUAGCUGGUCUGAGAGGAUGAUCAGCCACACUGGGACUGAGACACGGCCCAGACUCCUACGGGAGGCAGCAGUGGGGGAUAUUGGACAAUGGGCGAAAGCCUGAUCCAGCAAUGCCGCGUGAGUGAUGAAGGCCUUAGGGUUGUAAAGCUCUUUUACCCGGGAUGAUAAUGACAGUACCGGGAGAAUAAGCUCCGGCUAACUCCGUG